CCCUUAGAUGUUCUGGGCUGCACGCGCGCUACAUUGUUGCUUCCAACGGGUUGUCGGUUUUGAGAAUUUAUCGUAAAUUCUAGAAACAAGCAGCGUAACUGGGAUAGACUAUUGUAAUUAUUACUCUUCAACGAGGAAUUCCUAGUAGGAGCGGUUCAACAGACCGUUCUGAUUACGUCCCUGCCCUUUGUACACACCGCCCGUCGCUCCUACCGAGUGGGUGGUCCGGUGAAUUAUUUGGACUCUUUUGAGACAUGCUAAUGUUUCUUCUGAGAAAUUUUUGUUAACCUUAUCACCUGGAGGAAGGAUAAGUCGUAACA
Molecule: ribosomal RNA, 320 nt
Filed under: uncultured eukaryote
Lineage: Eukaryota
Description: partial 18S ribosomal RNA
Rfam family: Eukaryotic small subunit ribosomal RNA
Source: RNAcentral